GUAGGUGGCAAGCGUUGUCCGGAAUUAUUGGGCGUAAAGCGCGCGCAGGCGGUCCUUUAAGUCUGAUGUGAAAGCCCACGGCUCAACCGUGGAGGGUCAUUGGAAACUGGGGGACUUGAGUACAGAAGAGGAAAGCGGAAUUCCAAGUGUAGCGGUGAAAUGCGUAGAGAUUUGGAGGAACACCAGUGGCGAAGGCGGCUUUCUGGUCUGUAACUGACGCUGAGGCGCGAAAGCGUGGGGAGCAAACAGGAUUAGAUACCCUGGUAGUCCACGCCGUAAACGAUGAGUGCUAAGUGUUAGGGGGUUUCCCGCCCCCUUAGUGCUGCAGCUAACGCAUUUAGCACUCCGCCUGGGGAGUACGGCCGCAAGGCUG
This 373-nucleotide ribosomal RNA is filed under the name uncultured organism. RNAcentral's name for it is "partial 16S ribosomal RNA". It matches the Rfam family "Bacterial small subunit ribosomal RNA", at positions 527 to 896 of the family's 1533-position model. The record is from RNAcentral.